UUGGGGGAGGAGGAGAGGAGAGGGGAGGGGGUGGAACUUCAACCCCACAAACUCCUCCUUUCUCUCUCAAAAUAAUCAAACACGAGACAUUAACAACUACCAAGCUUAGCUUGGCCACUGGUUGUGCUUGUAUUGUGCCAAUUCCAAAGGGGGGUUUUUUUUUUUGUUUUUGUUUGUGGGGAGAGCUUUGAAUUAUAGCUUGAUUUGAUUAUGACUCACUUCACAUCUCUCUCCGCCUUCCCCUAUAUAUAUAUCCAGUCCUGAGCUUCCUCUCUCCUCUCUCUCUAGCUUCAUUAAUUGGCCAUUCACUACUCUUCUUGUUAUCCAAUCUAAUCAUGCGCAAGUAUACACAUGCAAUUGCAUAUUAUUGUACUUGAUUGCUGAAAUACAUGCUAUGAUAUAUGCAUAUAUGUAUGUAUAUGCCUGGCUCCCUGUAUGCCAUUUGCAGAGCCCACCGGAGAAUCGAUGGCCUCCGUGGAUGGCGUAUGAGGAGCCAUGCAUAUUAAUCAAUUCCAUUUGUGUUAUAUAUAUAUACACAUCUAUGGAUUAUAGAUAAUUAUAUAUGUAUUGUUCAAGUGUUUAAUUGCAGGGGUAUUGUUCAAAGACUGGAACCUAGUUUUCUAUGGGCAGCAUUGUAAUUUCCAAGGAAUUCUUGUUCUCUGAUGGGAUGAAAUCAUCCAAGUGAAAACCAAGGCGCACACACUCACAGUCACAGAUGCACACGCGUCUGACCAGGGAUUCAAAAAGAAAAGGCAUGAAUUCUGGCGAAUGCAAAGUUUUUUCUUUCCAGCAAACCCUAUCUCUAUCUACCAGGAUCACCAUCAUCAUCAUUAUACUAGGGAAUCUGGACCACCCGUCACACUCUCUCUCUCCUUCUGAUUGGCUGUUCAAGAAUAAUAACAUCACACGGUCAAACCAGGUCAAAAAGGCCACACUCCCACAUGCACACACAUUGGCCUGGGAGGGGUGGGGGACACAUUGAAUAUCUCUGGAUUGAUCAGAGGGCUAGGAAUGACUGUUUAGUUCUUGUUUGAGAUGGGAAGGGGCGAAGAGAAUCAAAAGUACAGUACGUUUUUGAGCCUGUGUGGAUGUGAAUACUGAAUAAUGGUGAUCGAUGAUUGUUGUGUUGUGGAGAUGAAAUGAUAUUUCAGUCUAUGUGUUGUGUUUGUUUCAUUCACUGAUUUGGGUUGUAUUUUGGGAGAUUGUUUUGUUAUGGUUUGAGGCAGACAGAUCGGCUCGUAAAGCUCUACUCAUAACAUAAAAAUGGUAACUCAUCAUUUCAGUGUUUUUGGAAUU
Tripterygium wilfordii is the source of this 1296-nucleotide long non-coding RNA. RefSeq lists it as uncharacterized. NCBI's taxonomy places the organism in Eukaryota, Viridiplantae, Streptophyta, Magnoliopsida, Celastrales, Celastraceae. The record is from RefSeq and is a predicted model, not a curated record. The transcript is spliced from 2 exons.